This 63-nucleotide transfer RNA is filed under the name Platynereis sp. 1 PA-2020. RNAcentral's name for it is "tRNA-Leu". The record is from RNAcentral. Lineage: Eukaryota; Metazoa; Annelida; Polychaeta; Phyllodocida; Nereididae.
GUUUUAGUGGCAGAUUAGUGCAUUAGAUUUAAGCUCUAAACAAGGUAUUAGUACCCUAAAACA